RNAcentral lists this ribosomal RNA (459 nucleotides) under uncultured bacterium. RNAcentral's name for it is "SSU rRNA". It matches the Rfam family "Bacterial small subunit ribosomal RNA", at positions 26 to 518 of the family's 1533-position model. The record is from RNAcentral.
AGAAUCAACGCUGGCGGCGUGCCUAACACAUGCAAGUCGAACGAGAAAGUGGAGCAAUCCAUUAGUAAAGUGGCGCACGGGUGAGUAACACGUGACUAACCUACCCUUGAGUGGGGGAUAACCUAGAGAAAUCUGGGCUAAUACCGCAUAAUACCUUCGGGUCAAAGGAGCAAUUCGCUUAAGGAGGGGGUCGCGGCCGAUUAGUUAGUUGGCGGGGUAAUGGCCCACCAAGACUAUGAUCGGUAUCCGGCCUGAGAGGGCGCACGGACACACUGGAACUGAAACACGGUCCAGACUCCUACGGGAGGCAGCAGUGGGAAUUUUGCGCAAUGGGGGAAACCCUGACGCAGCAACGCCGCGUGGAGGAUGAAGCCCCUUGGGGCGUAAACUCCUUUCGAUCGGGACGAUAAUGACGGUACCGAGAGAAGAAGCCCCGGCUAACUUCGUGCCAGCAGCCGC